CCAGAUUGACAGUUGAGAGUCAAUCCAUAAAGUCAUUGAAGCUGAAAAGAAUUUGAAGACUUCAAAGAGAUUCGGAGAUCAAGAAUACAAUUCUUGAGUUUUUCUAUCUUUUUAUUCUCUUAUUCUCUUAGUUUUGUUUUUAAUGUUUAAAUUUUAUUUGAUGAUGAUGUGUGACUUGAUGGGAAACUAAUUCAUUAAUCUAAAAUUAUGAUUGAACUCAAUAUGUAAUUUGAAUUAUUUAUCUCUCUUUUACUUAUGUUUGAUGGAUUUAAGUUGUUUAUUUUAUUUUGUUCUUAAUGCUUCUAGUUGACUGGCUACCUAUUAGAUUGAAUUGAAAACCU
RNAcentral lists this long non-coding RNA (341 nucleotides) under Theobroma cacao (cacao). RNAcentral's name for it is "long non-coding RNA (TCAC_LNC005194)". Lineage: Eukaryota; Viridiplantae; Streptophyta; Magnoliopsida; Malvales; Malvaceae. The record is from RNAcentral.